RNAcentral lists this ribosomal RNA (1547 nucleotides) under Salmonella enterica. RNAcentral's name for it is "bacterial SSU rRNA". It matches the Rfam family "Bacterial small subunit ribosomal RNA". Lineage: Bacteria; Pseudomonadati; Pseudomonadota; Gammaproteobacteria; Enterobacterales; Enterobacteriaceae. The record is from RNAcentral.
GAAGAGUUUGAUCAUGGCUCAGAUUGAACGCUGGCGGCAGGCCUAACACAUGCAAGUCGAACGGUAACAGGAAGCAGCUUGCUGCUUUGCUGACGAGUGGCGGACGGGUGAGUAAUGUCUGGGAAACUGCCUGAUGGAGGGGGAUAACUACUGGAAACGGUGGCUAAUACCGCAUAACGUCGCAAGACCAAAGAGGGGGACCUUCGGGCCUCUUGCCAUCAGAUGUGCCCAGAUGGGAUUAGCUAGUUGGUGAGGUAACGGCUCACCAAGGCGACGAUCCCUAGCUGGUCUGAGAGGAUGACCAGCCACACUGGAACUGAGACACGGUCCAGACUCCUACGGGAGGCAGCAGUGGGGAAUAUUGCACAAUGGGCGCAAGCCUGAUGCAGCCAUGCCGCGUGUAUGAAGAAGGCCUUCGGGUUGUAAAGUACUUUCAGCGGGGAGGAAGGUGUUGUGGUUAAUAACCGCAGCAAUUGACGUUACCCGCAGAAGAAGCACCGGCUAACUCCGUGCCAGCAGCCGCGGUAAUACGGAGGGUGCAAGCGUUAAUCGGAAUUACUGGGCGUAAAGCGCACGCAGGCGGUCUGUCAAGUCGGAUGUGAAAUCCCCGGGCUCAACCUGGGAACUGCAUUCGAAACUGGCAGGCUUGAGUCUUGUAGAGGGGGGUAGAAUUCCAGGUGUAGCGGUGAAAUGCGUAGAGAUCUGGAGGAAUACCGGUGGCGAAGGCGGCCCCCUGGACAAAGACUGACGCUCAGGUGCGAAAGCGUGGGGAGCAAACAGGAUUAGAUACCCUGGUAGUCCACGCCGUAAACGAUGUCUACUUGGAGGUUGUGCCCUUGAGGCGUGGCUUCCGGAGCUAACGCGUUAAGUAGACCGCCUGGGGAGUACGGCCGCAAGGUUAAAACUCAAAUGAAUUGACGGGGGCCCGCACAAGCGGUGGAGCAUGUGGUUUAAUUCGAUGCAACGCGAAGAACCUUACCUGGUCUUGACAUCCACAGAAGAAUCCAGAGAUGGAUUUGUGCCUUCGGGAACUGUGAGACAGGUGCUGCAUGGCUGUCGUCAGCUCGUGUUGUGAAAUGUUGGGUUAAGUCCCGCAACGAGCGCAACCCUUAUCCUUUGUUGCCAGCGGUCCGGCCGGGAACUCAAAGGAGACUGCCAGUGAUAAACUGGAGGAAGGUGGGGAUGACGUCAAGUCAUCAUGGCCCUUACGACCAGGGCUACACACGUGCUACAAUGGCGCAUACAAAGAGAAGCGACCUCGCGAGAGCAAGCGGACCUCAUAAAGUGCGUCGUAGUCCGGAUUGGAGUCUGCAACUCGACUCCAUGAAGUCGGAAUCGCUAGUAAUCGUGGAUCAGAAUGCCACGGUGAAUACGUUCCCGGGCCUUGUACACACCGCCCGUCACACCAUGGGAGUGGGUUGCAAAAGAAGUAGGUAGCUUAACCUUCGGGAGGGCGCUUACCACUUUGUGAUUCAUGACUGGGGUGAAGUCGUAACAAGGUAACCGUAGGGGAACCUGCGGUUGGAUCACCUCCUUACCUUAAAGAA